GCCGGGGUGGCGAAACUGGCAAACGCUGCGGACUUAAAAUCCGUUGGGCUUCGGCUCUUGUGGGUUCAAGUCCCACCCUCGGCA
RNAcentral lists this transfer RNA (84 nucleotides) under Candidatus Omnitrophota bacterium. RNAcentral describes it as "Candidatus Omnitrophica bacterium (groundwater metagenome) tRNA-Leu". It matches the Rfam family "tRNA". Rfam says of the family: Transfer RNA (tRNA) molecules are approximately 80 nucleotides in length. The record is from RNAcentral. Lineage: Bacteria; Pseudomonadati; Candidatus Omnitrophota.